AGUGAACGCUGGCGGUAGGCCUAACACAUGCAAGUCGAACGGCAGCACAGUAAGAGCUUGCUCUUACGGGUGGCGAGUGGCGGACGGGUGAGGAAUACAUCGGAAUCUACUUUUUCGUGGGGGAUAACGUAGGGAAACUUACGCUAAUACCGCAUACGACCUACGGGUGAAAGCAGGGGAUCUUUGGACCUUGCGCGAUUGAAUGAGCCGAUGUCGGAUUAGCUAGUUGGCGGGGUAAAGGCCCACCAAGGCGACGAUCCGUAGCUGGUCUGAGAGGAUGGUCAGCCACACGGGAACUGAGACACGGUCUAGACUCCUACGGGAAGCAGCAGUGGGGAAUAUUAGACAAUGGGCGCAAGCCUGAUCCAGCCAUACCGCGUGUGUGAAGAAGGCCUUCGGGUUGUAAAGCCCUUUUGUUGGGAGAGAAAAGCAGCAGGUUAAUACCCCGCUGUUCUGACGGUACCCGAAGAAUAAGCACCGGCUAACUUCGUG
This 492-nucleotide ribosomal RNA is filed under the name uncultured bacterium. RNAcentral's name for it is "partial 16S ribosomal RNA". It matches the Rfam family "Bacterial small subunit ribosomal RNA", at positions 29 to 507 of the family's 1533-position model. The record is from RNAcentral.